GAAAAAUCUGACCAAUAAUGAAAAAGCCAAGUACUACAAAAUGGCAGAAGAAGAAAAAGCCCUCCACUCCCAGAUGAAUCCCAACUGGUCCUUCAAAGAUAACUACCGUAAAAGGGCGAAGAAACGUUCAUCCAACUGGGUGUAAAGAAGGUGGUUUUCUGUAAGUUGCUGGACCUCACUGAGGAUAUCAGAAGAACCUGCAGAGUGGUGGAGCCAGACGACAUUUCCACAGAAAAAUCAAAGAUCCUUGACUGAAGA
Thalassophryne amazonica is the source of this 258-nucleotide long non-coding RNA. RefSeq lists it as uncharacterized. The transcript has 3 exons. Lineage: Eukaryota; Metazoa; Chordata; Actinopteri; Batrachoidiformes; Batrachoididae. The record is from RefSeq and is a predicted model, not a curated record.